GGGCAGAGGUUUUACUUGUGUUUACGCCGUGCUCAAUUCUCUGCCUUCCUUCUCCUCACUGCCCAACCCAGCGAGCUGCCCGUGGCACUGAGCACCCCGAGCUACAACAAAGGAUCACAAGGCACAGGGGGAAACCCGUGUAAUCUCCUUGCUCCAGCACAGUGAGCAACCAGCACGUUUACUGAACAGAAAUGGAUGCUGGAAGGGAAUUUGUGUUCCAGAGCACUGAAACAGUGCCAGGAUGCAGAGACAUCCCCUGAGCCUCACAGUGCUAAACGCAGACUGCAAACCGACAAGUGCAUGGGUUAACGCUGACACGCCAAUGCCAUCCUGCACCAAAUAACGUGGUGAGUGAUAAAACAAAGCAGUUCACUUCUUUUUCAGGCUUGCCACGCAAUGCUGAUUUGCUAAAUGCUGUAGAACAGCUGGCACACGGCAAACGCUUAGGGACAGCGUGGGGCAAAUCUUAAGGAUGCAGCAAUAUGGAUCCCAUGACCUGAGUGAGGGGCUGGGCUGGAAACCACACAGACAGGCUGCAAAACCACUUAAGAAAAAAUAAAAGCAAGAGAGAAAGAAGGAAAAUAUCACCAAUCAUUGCACGGUUUGAUGGCAAAAUCCUAAGGAAAGGAAAAGGCCCUUCUGACAGCAGCACUCCUCUGCAGGAGCAGUGGAAUUGGGGCUCUGCCAAUGCCCAUUUGGCCCCUGGGUGCUCUUUAAUCCGAUGCCACGGGUUUUUCAAGCAUGCUGCUUCCCCCCACAGCCUGCUGCCAACCCACUGAUGGUUUGUGCUGCUUACAGCUCCCAAGGAGGAGAACUACUGAAGAGCAGUGGGAAUAUUUACUUUCUGCUGCUAACGCAAGUCGCAAGCGAAGGACUUCAAAAACCACCUAACCUGCAUGCAGGGAGCUACAAACCGAGCCUGGCUGAGCACAGAAAGAAGCUGUGGGAUGUUGUUCCACGGGGAGAAACAGCCCAACUACAACACAGCCUCAGAGCAGAGCUCUGAAAGGCAGCUGAGCUGCAGCACUGCCUGCAGGGAGGGACAGAGCCUGAGAAGCCACAGCCAACAGGUUUGUUUGCUUGGAAGAGCUGAAAGAAUAAAAGAAAAAAAGAAGGAAAAAGAAAAAAAGAAAAAAAGCAGAAAGGCAAAGGAAACUAACUGUGAACUGGCUGUCUCUGCCUUAUUCCCAUUCUCCAGCACCAGACCUUUAACCUCUCUAUGUGCACUUACAUGCAUGGCUAUGCGCACGCACUCACAUCCUUCCAACUGGAUCACCUACGGGCACAGGCACACUGUACAAAAGCACCUCUGGAAGCUCCAAUGGAUUAAAUGUACACAUUUUUGGCUCACGUUUUUUCUGGCCAUGGCUCAAAGUCCCGCACACACCGCUGCUCCUCUACUGAAGCAGCCCAGGCACUGCCAACUGCAGCCCUUUGCACUUCCCCACGCUUCCACCAGUGAUACAGAGAUGGAGCCACGUGGAGGAGUAAGUGCUUAUUAUUGUUUGCCUUGACACUCGGGGAAGCGUUGCAGAGUUGGCCUACCUUGCUAUUUCGCAUUGUCCCAUCAUUACCCACUGUCAAACUUUGCUUUGCAAUUACUCAUCUCCCAGGGGAGCAGCAAGUAGCAAUUUCCCCCCAAGAAAUAAUAGCAACCAACCAAAAUGAGCUGAUUGCAUGGAUACGCCAACGCAAAUGAGACAAGAACGGUUCCUGGUUGCAUUAUCCCUAAAUCGCUGCCUGUCGGUGGCUGUGCCCACAAUUACCCAUCAGCUGCAGGGAGCGAUGAGCACCCAGCCCUCCUCCUGCUCAUCCAUUUCAACACCAGUUCCCCAUGGGUGCAAUGGGAGCAGGUUGUGCAGUGAUGUACAACCCCUCGGUCAGAGCACCACACCAGCACCAUGAGCUUCCGCUGUUGGCAGGGAGGUGACACAGUGACUGCAUCCCGCCCAAUAACAUUGUGUUUGAGGAUCCCAGAGAGUCGUUGGAAAGGUCCAGAAAGUUCGUGAAAUUCCCAAGCUCCUCAGGAGCUCUAUGCACAUUGUGCUUUUGCCCCUGUUCUGGCUGCAGAGUCAGAAACUUCUGUACUACACCACCUCUCCUCCACUCUGGGGAGACCAAAUGUAAGAAGGCAGCACACCAACUCAUAACGAGGGCCGGGUGAUGGGGAUAGGAAACCACAAUCCCAAGUAGCACAACCUGCAGCACAACCCAAGUGGCCAUGACUGACUGUCACGUAAUUCCAAACCAGAAAGCUUUGGCACCAGCAGGUAACUCACCACCAAAGAAGCCUUUGUUCUUUGAGGCAGAGAGUUGUGCUGAUGUGUUGGACUGUAAAGGGAGCUGUUUGGAACAUCUCAGCUGUGCAGCAUUGAGUAACAUGAAGUUUUUCUUUUAAACAGAAGUUCUGAAGGGCCUUGGGCAAAGGAGAAGUGCUGAAGAAAUCUUGCUUUCUAAAAAACUAAAAAUUCAGGGAUUUCCAUGAAAAUGAGGCCUCUUGUGCUGUUAACUGCAUAUAACCGUGUAAUACCCUGAAAUAAGAAAUGCAAUUUUCUGCCUUUUUGAUCAGUUCCCAAGGUUAACAGCUGCACAAGCACUGAAUCCUUUCAGAAGCCCUGCACAGAUAUUCCCCUCAUGCAUCUUACUGUAGAAAACUACUCAGACAAAGCAGCUGCACAAAACAUUAGCAGCUGAUCUGAGCUAAUUCAAUCGUUCUGAUGAGGCUGCAAAGGAAGAAUCAGAGACAGAAGAACUACAAGGGAGCUCUCAUAUACCAAACCUCCUCCAGCACUGAGACACAUCACAAAGCAGGACCUGCCCCAACUACAGCUGCUGCUACCCUCCGUGAGGUCACACCAUAAGUUAUAACGGGGACUUUCUGAUGAGCUCCUGCUGGUGUUUAUAACCCAAGCCCACGUACAGUACUCUCCAAGAAUACCUUCAGCAAAACAGUCAGCAUCUGUUACAGCUCCUUCACUUUUCCAGGAUGCUGUCCUGAUCACCUGGGGACAGCAGAGCCAGAUCCAGUGUUCUUGAAACCAAUGCUGACCUCCGUGCUGUUGGAGCUGAGCCUGCCCCCCCCCAAAUCCCACUGCUACAUCAACGCGAGGCUGACUUAAAAGAGAGCAGAAACACAAUUCAUCACUUUUAGGAGACACUUUGCCAUGUUUUUCAAGAAUUGUGACACACACAGCUGAAUUUUACCAAGAAAUCAAUUACCUACCAGCUAUUCUAUGUAUCAAAAUAGGUUUCCAGGGAAGUAAAUCAUCCUCACCGUGUUAAUGCUGGUAGCACCAAGCCCAUCUGCAGGACCGUGUUCCCCAUUAAGAUGGAUGGCAACAUAUGAACCCGUACAGCUGACAGACAUUUACAGAGGAUAAUUACAGAGAUUGUUGGAAUAUCAGUUACUUUGACAUGUUAAUGGUAUCUUUUUAAUUAGAUACAAAGGCAGAGAGGUGAUAGCAAACUGUGCAGUGGCUGCUGAGCUGAUGUGCCAUCACCAGGACAGGGCCCCAGGGUGCCUUGUUCUGCCAAAGAGCAGCCCACCCUUUGAGCAGGACCAAGGCUGGUGCACAACUAUGAUGCUUUAAGGCCCCUCACUACAAGACACUGAGGCCCUGGACGUGUCUGAAGGAGGGCAAUGAAGCGAUGAAGGGGCUGUAACUUAUGACUCCAGCCAUAUGCAUUUCAAUGCCCACCCAGCAUUAGCAGCAGGGCUCUGCCAGGCUUACAGGUUGGCUGAGGAGAUGGUUUAUGAGGUUCCAAAU
Long non-coding RNA from Gallus gallus (chicken), 3767 nucleotides. The record is from Ensembl. NCBI's taxonomy places the organism in Eukaryota, Metazoa, Chordata, Aves, Galliformes, Phasianidae.